UGAAUACGAGAUGCUACGGCGUCGAAGCAGUCUAUGUCAUACUUCCAAGAAAAGCUUGCACUGUCAUAAACAAAUAAUGCCUGUACCAUAACCGACACAGGUGGGUAGGUAGAGUAUACUAAGGGGCGCGAGAUAACUCUCUCUAAGGAACUCGGCAAAAUGACUCCGUAACUUCGGGAGAAGGAGUGCCUUAUUUAUAAGGUUGCAAUAACAAGAUCCAAGCAACUGUUUACCAAAAACACAGGUCUCCGCUAAGUCGUAAGACGAUGUAUGGGGGCUGACGCCUGCCCAGUGCCAGAAGGUUAAAGAAGUUGGUUAGCAUCCGCGAAGCUGAUAACUGAAGCCCUGGUGAACGGCGGCCGUAACUAUAACGGUCCUAAGGUAGCGAAAUUCCUUGUCGGGUAAGUUCCGACCCGCACGAAAGGCGUAAUGAUUUGGAUACUGUCUCGGAGAGGGGCUCGGUGAAAUAGACUUGUCUGUGAAGAUGCGGACUACCUGCACCAGGACAGAAAGACCCUAUGAAGCUUUACUGUAACCUGAAAUUGAAAUUGGACUUUACUUGCGCAGUAUAGGUGGGAGGCGUUGAGAAUAUUCUUGCGGGAUUAUUGGAGCCAUCAGUGAGAUACCACUCUUGUAAUGUUAGAUUUCUAACUUUGUAUCAUUAUCUGGUCAAAGAACAGUUUCAGGCGGGCAGUUUGACUGGGGCGGUCGCCUCCUAAACGGUAACGGAGGCGCACAAAGGUUUCCUCUGAACGGGUAGAAAUCGUAUCUAGAGUGUAAAGGCAUAAGGAAGCUUGACUGUGAGACCUACAAGUCGAGCAGGGACGAAAGUCGGUCUUAGUGAUCUGACGGUGCUGAGUGGAAAGGCCGUCACUCAACGGAUAAAAGUUACUCUAAGGAUAACAGGCUGAUCUCCCCCAAGAGUUCACAUCGACGGGGAGGUUUGGCACCUCGAUGUCGGCUCAUCGCAUCCUGGGGCGGUAGUACGUCCCAAGGGUUGGGCUGUUCGCCCAUGAAAGCGGUACGCGAGCUGGGUUCAGAACGUCGUGAGACAGUUCGGUCCAUAUCCGGUGUAGGCGUUAGAAUAUUGAGAGGAGCCUUCUUUAGUACGAGAGGACCGAGAAGGACAUACCUCUGGUGUACCAGUUAUCGUGCCAACGGUAAACGCUGGGUAGCUAUGUGUGGAGUGGAUAACCGCUGAAAGCAUCUAAGUGGGAAGCCCACCUCAAGAUAAGUAUUCUCAUCAU
Molecule: ribosomal RNA, 1247 nt
Filed under: metagenome
Description: bacterial LSU rRNA
Rfam family: Bacterial large subunit ribosomal RNA
Source: RNAcentral